Cimex lectularius (bed bug) is the source of this 646-nucleotide long non-coding RNA. RefSeq lists it as uncharacterized. The record is from RefSeq and is a predicted model, not a curated record. Lineage: Eukaryota; Metazoa; Arthropoda; Insecta; Hemiptera; Cimicidae. The transcript is spliced from 2 exons.
UUUUUGAAAGCGUCGGGCAUCGCCAAAAUUCCUGUACCGAGGCAUCCUUUGAUCAAAUGGAUGUAAGUUUCUAAAUUCCUGAAAAGGCGAAUAUUGUUCAAAUCAGAACACAAUUUAUUGACAACCGGUGUUCGCCUUCUAACGAGAUAUUUCUGAUUUACUCACAAUACUAGAUCAGGGUGAAACACGGAUAGAACUUGUGUCGACGACUAUGAUCGUAUGAUCGACUGGAUCCUAUCCUCUCCGACUGAGGUCUGGCCCGAGUUAAUCUCCUCAAUUUGUGUCGUAUCCGGGAGCAGCCGGAAAGUCGAAGGUGGUGGGGACGACAUCCAUUCUCUUCCUCUGCUCAAAUUUUCUCUUCCACCCCACUCGAAAGAACGAAUUUGUCAACAAAAGCGAAAAAAAGUGUUAACAGGCAAACAGAAACACAUCGCAGGAACAUGAACGGUAUUAGUUGAUCGAUGGGAGAGUAGGACAUCAUUUAUACUAGAUUAUAAUCAUAAAAGAACAGUUUUCGGCAACGUCGGGAUUCGAACCAAUGACCGCUAACCUGACGAACUUGAGAACCGAAGUCUAAUCCAGCACACCAAUGGCAACUAGCAUAAAUAACAUAAAAUAAACUAUUACAGCAUUUCUGAUAUUUAAA